This 683-nucleotide ribosomal RNA is filed under the name bacterium enrichment culture clone F8 1.705-34. RNAcentral's name for it is "bacterial SSU rRNA". It matches the Rfam family "Bacterial small subunit ribosomal RNA", at positions 8 to 660 of the family's 1533-position model. The record is from RNAcentral.
AGAGUUUGAUCCUGGCUCAGGACGAACGCUGGCGGCGUGCCUAACACAUGCAAGUCGAACGGAGAAUUUCAAAGAGCUUGCUCUAAGAGAUUUUUAGUGGCGGACGGGUGAGUAACGCGUGGGUAACCUACCCAUAAAGCCGGGACAACCCUUGGAAACGAGGGCUAAUACCGGAUAAUCUUAAGUCUUGGCAUCAAGGCAUAAGGAAAGGUGGCCGAUGAAAAUGCUACUGAUUAUGGAUGGACCCGCGUCUGAUUAGCUAGUUGGUGGGGUAAAGGCCUACCAAGGCGACGAUCAGUAGCCGGCCUGAGAGGGUGAACGGCCACACUGGGACUGAGACACGGCCCAGACUCCUACGGGAGGCAGCAGUGGGGAAUCUUCCGCAAUGGACGAAAGUCUGACGGAGCAACGCCGCGUGUAUGAUGAAGGUCUUCGGAUUGUAAAGUACUGUCUUUGGGGAAGAACGAAGUACUUGAGAAAAUUGAGUACAAAUGACGGUACCCAAGGAGGAAGCCCCGGCUAACUACGUGCCAGCAGCCGCGGUAAUACGUAGGGGGCAAGCGUUGUCCGGAAUUAUUGGGCGUAAAGGGCGCGUAGGCGGAUAAUUAAGUCCGGUGUGAAAGAUCAGGGCUCAACCCUGAGAGUGCAUCGGAAACUGGCUAUCUUGAGGACAGGAGAGGAAA